Non-coding RNA from Sus scrofa (pig), 5934 nucleotides. Lineage: Eukaryota; Metazoa; Chordata; Mammalia; Artiodactyla; Suidae. The record is from RefSeq and is a predicted model, not a curated record.
AAAAUGAUACAAAUGAACUUAUUUAUAAAACAGAAAUAGACUCACAGACAUAGAAAACAAACUCAUGGUGACCAAAGCAGAUAGUGGAGGAGAGAGGGAUACAUUUAAAAAAUUAAAUGAAAUACAUUGUUUUUAAGCAGCAUAAAGUUGGGAUCCUUCUCAUCUAAUCUGACAACCUCUGCCUUACAAGUGUGGUGUUUGUCAUUUACAUUCAAUACGAUAUGAUCGGGUUUAAGUCACAUUUGAAGGUAAUAGUGGAGUUUAUGACUGACCGUCUCCAACUUCAGCAUGGACCCAGGCCUGUUUAUAUUCCUGCAUGUUAAAAAUUAGAAGUAAAAAUUCUGAUCAUCUACCUUCUUACACUUGCCUUUAUAAAGUGCAAGUGUAAGAAGGUUACUAACUGCACUAAAGUAACUGAAGUCACAGCAAUAUUUAACAAAAGAGAUGAUAAAUUAAUCCUACAUUCUCCUGUGGAGUUGGAGAAUACUUUAAGUAAGACACAUCUUAAUUGGAAAGUUCUAAUUUUGGGGGGGGGGGCGCCGUGCCCACAGCAAGUGGAAGUUCCCGGGCCAGGGAUUGAACCCAGUGCCACAGCAGUGACAAUGCUAGAUUCCUAACCCACUGAGCCAUGAGGGAGCUCUAGAAAGUUCUGAAUGUUUAUAGACAGUACUAUAUGUGGUGUGCAAAGUUUAUUCAAUAAAUAGCCAUUAAAUUGCAAAAAAAAAAUUUUUUUUUUUAGAGAAAAGUCAAAUUUUUAAAAAGUGGAAAUCAGAGAAAAUGGAAAGGCAUGAGAAGAAGGUAAAAAAAGCUACUGGCAUCACCUGUCUUCUGAAGCAGAAGGAAGAGGGUGCCUGAGGAACUUAGCUUGAAUUAGAAAAUUCCCGACUGAGCCAUGGAGUUAUCGUGUUCCAGGCAUGUGAAAAGGUGGCUGGGAUUAAAUCUUCCAGUGUUAGAGCUACAGGAGGCUCUAGUAUUUUUCUUAUCAACUAUAAAAUGCCUGGAAAAAGGGCCUUAACGCCCCAAUACAAUCAAAGCCUGGAGAUUGCAUAUGUAAUAGUUCCCCAAAAAAGAUUCAUAAUAUGUAGAAGAAAUUUUGCUGAGGAAAGAAUCUUUUUGUUUAUUUUGUUUUUUAGGGCCACACAUGCGGUAUAUGGACGUUCUCAGGCUAGGGUCAAAUCAGAGCUGUAGCUGCCGGCCCACACCACAGCCACAGCAAUGUCAGAUCUGAGCCACAUCUGUGACCUACACUGCAUCUCACGGCAAUGCCGGAUCCUUAACCCGCUGAGCGAGGCUAGGGAUCAAACCUGCAUCCUCAUGGAUCCUAGUUGGGUUUGUUACCUACCACUGAGCCACAGUGGGAACGCUCUGAGGAAAGAAUCUUAACAGAAGUUUUGAAGUUAGCCAACAAGAAAAAUUCAUCUACUCGCUCCUUGAUUCAUUCAUUUGAAAAAUACCAAUUGCAUCCACCAGGGCUUGGGUCCAAUGUCAAGUCCUGAGGUUACAUCUGUGAACAAGGCAUAGUCUAGACACUCAAAAGUGCUCACUUGCAAGUGAGGAGAGCCACCCAUAAGCGGGCCUUGAUCAUGCAAACUGAUGAGAUAGGAGAUGGGAGAGGGCAAAGUGCGGAGGACACACCUGGGAGGCUACCAAGCCCGCCUCCAGAACUCCCUGGGGAGUCGCGUGGCAUGUUUGAUGCCUGCAACUCACCCCAGUGACACUUUGUUAUUCUUUACGGUUAACGUGUAUACAAGGAAGUGAUUAAACAACAUGAGUGGGGUGUGUGUGUUUGUGUUUAUGCACGUAAAAAAGGAUCCUGAACAGAACCACAGCUUGUGACAGGAUAGUAUUUAAAUAUUUAAAUACUGAAGCUCGUGGUUUUAUUUAUUUAUUUAUUUAUGUAUUUGAAGCUGAAGCUCAGAGAAAGGAUUUGAUGUCUUAGACCCCAGGGCUGAGCCGUAUCUGGAACCCAGGUCUCCAAGCUCUCUACAUGCACCGAUUUAAUAUUUACAGCUGUAACCUUUGUACAUCUUACCCAGAAGAAGGGCCCCUGGUCACGGAGGCUCAGAAGACGGAAUCUCUAGGCCAUAUUUGACCACCAAGAAUCUGGGAGAGCCUCAAUUCACUGUCCCGAGUUCCAUCUGCCCAUCUGUAACCUGAGCAAGGGCUUCGCCACGUCGUCUGGUGUCCCCGACAGUUAUUCAGAAUAGAUGAGAGUGUCUUAUCCACAAAUACGCUGAACACAAGUAUUGUUGAAGAAAGGAGUUUAGACACACACACACACACACACACACACACACACACACACACACAUUAUGCCAAUGCAUCGCCCUUCUCAGAUUCAGAAGCCACUGCUGGUGUUCUCCUUACUCCGAGUCUCGGGAGCACUGGCCUGUACAGCUGACAUCAAAAACAGAAUGGUUUCCUAUUGGAAACGACAAUCUAUGAGCUGUUGCAGGACAAGCCCUGGGGUGGGGAGGCUCUGAUCUUCUAGAACCUGCUGGUGGGCUGCUGCUGCAGGUACCCAGCCCUGGACCUGAGCCACGGAACAGACACUGAGGAGGGCAAAGACAGAGAGAACGAACCAACUGACCACGGAAGAUAAUGACCCCAGUGAAACCAAGUGCCUAAAGGGGACAGACGUCCAUGUGGGAGAGGAGGAGAGGAGAGAGGGAGAGAGAGCAACAGAGAGACGUGGAGGAGGAGGAAGAGGAGGAGCAGGAGGGAGGAGGAAACAAGAGAACAGGAGCACGUGGGAGCUUCGAGUCAACAGUCGAGACCCAAAUGAACGACAUGGAAGAUCAAGCUGAAGGACGCUAUGAAGCCUGGAGCAAAUAUUCGAGCCUCACUCUCAGUAAGACAAAGAGCCUGGAUAAAAUCCCUUUAAGGUGAGACUGCACAAAGCAUCGUGCUGGAUCUGCUGGGCAGCUCCCCAGAACUCCAGCCCCUGUGGCCAAUGCCAGGGGGAAGAGUUUGGGGUCUGGUGCGUUCUGGACCCAGAUUCCCAUGGUAGCAUUUAGCCGCUAGAUUAUCCCGAGCCUGGGAGAUGUUGACACCCCCCCCCCUUUCCCUGGGCCAGUGUCAGCCCCAGGCACUGUGCUGAGGUUGUGUAGAAAGGGGCAGGCUCCCCCUGGAGAUCCCCACCCAGGGAUCCCCGGGCAACACUCCUCCAAGGACUUUUCUUCUCUAGGAACUCGCUUCUGUCAGCCUCUCUUGUCUGUCCACUGGCUCCUAAGCCUUCCAUCUGCAAGUUCAGUUUCUAAGUCAACAGGACCCCCAGACAGGCCUCCGGUCCCCUUGGGGGAACUGUCAGGAUCUGUGUGUGUGUGUGUUGCAAGCAAGCUCAUUGCAUGGACCUGGCACAGGCGGGAUCCAGCUCCCUUCCAGGGCCACGUGACCCUGGCAGCAUUACUCACUUGGGUGCCCUCCAGCAGGGGCAGCUGGGGACACCUCCCUAGAGUGACUACAGCGUUUAUCACGGGGAUGACUCAGCCCGCCCGAGCCUCUCUCUCCCUGAAAAGGGAAUCUGAGGCCAGGGCCGGGGUGAGAGUGUCCAUUAGACCAUCUAUAGCCUCGGGAGCCCGGAAACUCCCCUCACCUGGGAAGCACGCAGGACGGACGGACGGGAUGAGUAAAGCUCAGGACCUCCGAGACGUCUCACUUUCACCAUUCAUUCGGGGCGCUGGGAGGUGGAGGCCUCAGCAUUUCCUAACUUAUUUUUUUAUGAAGCACUCGCCUCACCCAGUAGACUGAGAGUGUGCUCCCCGUUGACCUCAGCUCAGAAAGAAGGGAAGUCUGAUGCUAAGCUCCUCUUCCUCUACCACGGGCUCCACGCACCCCAAGACCCCCCGGGAGGUCCCGAUCCUCCUUCAGAACCAGAGCACAAGGACCGUCUUUCAUGCUCUUUUCUUGGUAGAACCUGACCUGUUGCAGAGCCGAGCGCCCCGCCUCUGUCUUGGGCACGUGACAGUCAGCCCUCAGGAACUUAGGUCCAGACCAAUAACGGACUUGUUGGCAUCCCCUCAUCUCCCAGUUAUGAAUUCCUUGGGUUCCGUGUGUCUCUACGUUCCAGUUGGUAGCACCUAACGAGUCUGCUGAAUGGAUUUUCCCUUAGUUUGAAUCCCUGCCUGGUUUGGCCAUAAGAAAACAAAUACCAUUCAUGGGGUGUGUGACAUAGACGCUGGUGCUCCCCAAUUAUUCCAUGAGAUCCUGCAUAUUUUCCAGCCUUCCUGGCACUUAGCAUGGAGCCAGGUGACAAAUUUAAGUUCACGGGCUCAAGGGGGAGUGAAGCAAUGCACAGCACUUGCCACCCGAGGACAUCGAGGAGGCUGAAAGCUGCACGCAUCUGCCGCGGUGGCUGGAAGCGAAGAACGCUGAGACGGUGAAGGGGCCACAGGGAGCAUUGCUAAGCGCACCACUGCUGAAAGGCGGCCACCAGAGAGGAUGGGCUGACCUGUAUCAGACUGCUCCGAAAGUGACAAAUAAGCCUCUGGCUUUGGAGGUUUGCUGCCACAGCAAAACUUAGCUUUACCCUGACCAACCGCGGGUGAGUUUCACAAGCUGAAAGUGUAAGGAGGAGACAAGCCCGUGGAAUAUGACAGCAUCACCGCGGGUGAGUUUCACAAGCUGAAAGUGUAAGGAGGAGACAAGCCCGUGGAAUAUGACAGCAUCACUGGCUAGCAACAUCUUCUGAUAUCCUGGAAUUAGUCGGGAUGGGCCAUGGAUCUGGAUCUGAAACUUUUAAAUCGAAAUGGGGACAAGAGCAUCCCUAUGACGUCAUUGGAGAAUCUGAGGCAUAGAGAAGCGAAGGGAUGGGCUUCUCGGAUUAGGAGUGAGCGAAGCAUGAGAACAGAGACCUCAAUUUCCCCUGGGCUGUUUCCCACCCUUCCUAGUUGGGAUUUCUCCUCCCCCAGCAUUUGUGCCCUUUGAGUUAGUAUUCUAGGCAUGAGACUGACCUAUUUCGAAGUGGGACAGGUUGGCGUCUCUAAAGCGGGUUCCACAGAAGACUCUGUUUUGAAGCAACAUGGUGGUAAAGAGGUUAACACUGAAUGGGAGUUUUACUUCCAGGCAGGGAUCUCGAGCCCUGGUGGAAAGACUGCAGCUGCCCUGUGGCCCAGAUAAUGCAACAUCGGGCUGAGCAAGGACAUCUGAGAACAUUCUGUUCUCCUCCCCCGAGACCAAUUAAAAUCUGGAGGCAUCUUUCUUGUUGAUCGAGCUGACUAACUAAUUGAAACGGAAUUGUGAUAUUUUCAUCAGCUUUCUCUUAUCCCUCUUGGCCUUGCCAGCAGAGAGCAAGUUGAAUGAUCAGAGAGUUUCAAGCAUGUGAGGCCCAGGGAACGGAACCCCUCUCACCGUAAACCACUACAUUUCCACGGAACAAGGUUCGAAAAAGGAUGAUGCGGGGUCGAGAGUAGGGCGAUACGCUCAAAUCUCAGUCUCAGUUCAUCCAGAUACCAAAGAUACCAUCUUCGGGAUUCCUGAUGAACCAUAAAGCUGUCCUUCAGCAGUUGCUGCUCCAAUAAACCAGCUUCUGACCUCUGCCUUCCUAACGAACAUCCCUCUGCCUGACUGCGGAAGCUCCUAGAAACAAAGAACCAAACGCCUCUGAGGCCCAACAAGAUCCCUUUCCUUCCAUUGAGCUAGAAUGUAUUUCCUCGGCACGUGCAAAUGGCCUAGUGGUUAAUCUUAGCAAUUGUCCCAAAGGACAUCCAAGCCUCUGGGAAUGGGUUACAUGAUUGAGAUUGCAGGACCUUUUUCUGCUUCAGCAUGAAGACCUGCAUGUUAGCAUUUGUGAGGAGAGCUCAAGAUGGGGGGAAGUCCUCUUGGCUCCUGAUCUAAGGAAGAGCUGCGUCUUAAGCAUUGGUAGAAUUGCUCAUGUGUCCAGUGUGAGGUGGCCUUGGCUGACAAGCUAUCAAAAUAAAUAAAUAACAAGAAAAU